This 305-nucleotide ribosomal RNA is filed under the name uncultured bacterium. RNAcentral's name for it is "bacterial SSU rRNA". It matches the Rfam family "Bacterial small subunit ribosomal RNA", at positions 338 to 660 of the family's 1533-position model. The record is from RNAcentral.
CCUACGGGGGGCAGCAGUGGGGGAUAUUGCACAAUGGGCGAAAGCCUGAUGCAGCGACGCCGCGUGAGGGAAGACGGUCUUCGGAUUGUAAACCUCUGUCUUUGGGGAAGAAAUCAGACGGUACCCAAAGAGGAAGCUCCGGCUAACUACGUGCCAGCAGCCGCGGUAAUACGUAGGGAGCGAGCGUUGUCCGGAAUUACUGGGUGUAAAGGGAGCGUAGGCGGGCUUGUAAGUUGAAUGUCUAAUCCACCGGCUCAACCGGUGAUCGCGUUCAAAACUGCAGGUCUUGAGUGAAGUAGAGGCAG